UACGGAGGGUGCAAACGUUGCUCGGAAUCACUGGGCGUAAAGCGCACGUAGGCGGAUUGCUAAGUCAGGGGUGAAAUCCUGGAGCUCAACUCCAGAACUGCCUUUGAUACUGGCGACCUUGAGUCCGGGAGAGGUGAGUGGAACUGCGAGUGUAGAGGUGAAAUUCGUAGAUAUUCGCAAGAACACCAGUGGCGAAGGCGGCUCACUGGCCCGGUACUGACGCUGAGGUGCGAAAGCGUGGGGAGCAAACAGG
This 253-nucleotide ribosomal RNA is filed under the name uncultured bacterium. RNAcentral describes it as "partial 16S ribosomal RNA". It matches the Rfam family "Bacterial small subunit ribosomal RNA", at positions 524 to 776 of the family's 1533-position model. The record is from RNAcentral.